RNAcentral lists this ribosomal RNA (269 nucleotides) under uncultured prokaryote. Its description in RNAcentral is "partial 16S ribosomal RNA". It matches the Rfam family "Bacterial small subunit ribosomal RNA", at positions 524 to 792 of the family's 1533-position model. The record is from RNAcentral.
UACGGAGGAUCCGAGCGUUAUCCGGAUUUAUUGGGUUUAAAGGGUGCGCAGGCGGGAGAUUAAGUCGGCGGUGAAAUUUUGCAGCUCAACUGUAAAAGUGCCUUCGAUACUGGUUUCCUUGAGUGUGGAUGAAGUAGGCGGAAUUUGUGGUGUAGCGGUGAAAUGCUUAGAUAUCACGAGGAACUCCGAUUGCGCAGGCAGCUUACUAAACCACUACUGACGCUCAGGCACGAAGGCGUGGGGAUCAAACAGGAUUAGAUACCCUGGUA